RNAcentral lists this ribosomal RNA (524 nucleotides) under uncultured Planctomycetota bacterium. Its description in RNAcentral is "bacterial SSU rRNA". It matches the Rfam family "Bacterial small subunit ribosomal RNA", at positions 376 to 896 of the family's 1533-position model. The record is from RNAcentral. Lineage: Bacteria; Pseudomonadati; Planctomycetota.
CGCAAGCUUGACCGAGCGAUGCCGCGUGCGGGAUGAAGGCCCUCGGGUUGUAAACCGCUGUCGUAGGGGAAUAAAGGUCGGUGGGUUCUCCCAUCGAUUUGAAUGAUCCUAGGAGGAAGGACGGGCUAAGUUCGUGCCAGCAGCCGCGGUAAGACGAACCGUCCAAACGUUAUUCGGAAUCACUGGGCUUACAGAGUUCGUAGGCGGUCUGGAAAGUUGGGUGUGAAAUCCCUCGGCUCAACCGAGGAACUGCGCUUGAAACUACCAGACUCGAGGGAGAUAGAGGAAAGCGGAACUGAUGGUGGAGCGGUGAAAUGCGUUGAUAUCAUCAGGAACACCGGUGGCGAAGGCGGCUUUCUGGGUCUUACCUGACGCUGAGGAACGAAAGCCAGGGGAGCGAACGGGAUUAGAUACCCCGGUAGUCCUGGCCGUAAACGAUGAGCACUAGGUCGUGGGCCUCCACAGGCCCUCGGCCGUAGCGAAAGUGUUAAGUGCUCCGCCUGGGGAGUAUGGUCGCAAGGCUG